GCCGGCGUAGCUCAGUCGGUAGAGCAAGUGUUUUGUAAACACUGGGUCGGGGGUUCGAUUCCUCUCGCCGGCU
This 73-nucleotide transfer RNA is filed under the name Candidatus Omnitrophota bacterium. Its description in RNAcentral is "Candidatus Omnitrophica bacterium tRNA-Thr". It matches the Rfam family "tRNA". From Rfam's summary of the family: Transfer RNA (tRNA) molecules are approximately 80 nucleotides in length. Their secondary structure includes four short double-helical elements and three loops (D, anti-codon, and T loops). Further hydrogen bonds mediate the characteristic L-shaped molecular structure. tRNAs have two regions of fundamental functional importance: the anti-codon, which is responsible for specific mRNA codon recognition, and the 3' end, to which the tRNAs corresponding amino acid is attached (by aminoacyl-tRNA synthetases). tRNAs cope with the degeneracy of the genetic code in two manners: having more than one tRNA (with a specific anti-codon) for a particular amino acid; and 'wobble' base-pairing, i.e. permitting non-standard base-pairing at the 3rd anti-codon position. Lineage: Bacteria; Pseudomonadati; Candidatus Omnitrophota. The record is from RNAcentral.